UGGGUUGUGGCUUAGCGGUAGAGCGCUCGCCUAGCAUGUGUGAAGCCCUGGGUUCAAUCCUCAGCACCACAA
Molecule: transfer RNA, 72 nt
Filed under: Marmota marmota marmota (Alpine marmot)
Lineage: Eukaryota; Metazoa; Chordata; Mammalia; Rodentia; Sciuridae
Also listed under: 1 other name
Rfam family: tRNA
About the family: Transfer RNA (tRNA) molecules are approximately 80 nucleotides in length.
Source: Rfam by way of RNAcentral